Long non-coding RNA from Ictalurus punctatus (channel catfish), 542 nucleotides. Lineage: Eukaryota; Metazoa; Chordata; Actinopteri; Siluriformes; Ictaluridae. The record is from Ensembl.
AUCAGCGCAGAAUUCACCAGACUUGUGUCGAUGGACCUGAGCAAGUCCUUUUAUGAGGGUCUUGACAAACACGCCUCAAAGCUGCUGUAUUUGUACCGCUCGAGGCGCCAUGCAGACAUCACAGAAAGGAGUGCCAUACUGGAGCGCCUGGAUAAAAAUGCAUCAAAUCACAGGAAGAGGGUUGCAGUACUGCUGGGGCUGCCACUGUCCAUGCGGGAGAAUCCAUGUCAGUUCUUACAGAUCUGUGAGCACACAGAUUCUGAAGAAGAGUUAAUCAAGGGCGUGACUGUUGGAAUCAGUACAGUUAUGGAUGACGCGAUGGACCCUAUUCCGUGUGACUGUGGUGAUGUAGCCCUUGUAAUGGAAGAAGUUGUCGUUCUACGCAAUCUUGGUGAUGUACCAAAUGCAUUUGUCAACUUGAUGGGAUUGCUUUAUGCACGUAACAUAAACUACCCCACAAACUUCAAAUACACCUUUGAGGUGAUUCAGAGGCUGUUCAUGAACAUCGGAGCUGAUGCCUGCAGUGCACGAGUACAUUCACU